ACCGCGGUAGCUCAGCUGGUAGAGCAUCUGCUUGGUAUGAGGAGGGUCGCCGGUUCGACUCCGGCUCGCGGCG
Molecule: transfer RNA, 73 nt
Filed under: Fasciola hepatica (liver fluke)
Lineage: Eukaryota; Metazoa; Platyhelminthes; Trematoda; Plagiorchiida; Fasciolidae
Rfam family: tRNA
About the family: Transfer RNA (tRNA) molecules are approximately 80 nucleotides in length. Their secondary structure includes four short double-helical elements and three loops (D, anti-codon, and T loops). Further hydrogen bonds mediate the characteristic L-shaped molecular structure. tRNAs have two regions of fundamental functional importance: the anti-codon, which is responsible for specific mRNA codon recognition, and the 3' end, to which the tRNAs corresponding amino acid is attached (by aminoacyl-tRNA synthetases). tRNAs cope with the degeneracy of the genetic code in two manners: having more than one tRNA (with a specific anti-codon) for a particular amino acid; and 'wobble' base-pairing, i.e. permitting non-standard base-pairing at the 3rd anti-codon position.
Source: Rfam by way of RNAcentral